UACGUAGGGUGCGAGCGUUAAUCGGAAUUACUGGGCGUAAAGCGUGCGCAGGCGGUUCGUUGUGUCGGCGGUGAAAGCCCCGGGCUUAACCUGGGAAUGGCCGUCGAAACUGGCGAACUGGAGUGUGGCAGAGGGGGGUGGAAUUCCGCGUGUAGCAGUGAAAUGCGUAGAGAUGCGGAGGAACACCGAUGGCGAAGGCAGCCCCCUGGGCUGACACCGACGCUCAGGCACGAAAGCGUGGGGAGCAAACAGG
Molecule: ribosomal RNA, 253 nt
Filed under: uncultured bacterium
Lineage: Bacteria
Description: partial 16S ribosomal RNA
Rfam family: Bacterial small subunit ribosomal RNA
Source: RNAcentral